GCGGCACCUCGGGCAGGGGAGGGGGCUUUAUGGGCCCCCGCAUGCCAAAGCCUCGCUGACUGGUGUGAGCUGAGGAGCAGGUGAAGCGCAGAAGGCCCUCAGGGGCUGCAUUCUUCCCGGGGCACCUGUGUCUGCCCCACUCUGUGGCUCCCAGGUGAGCAGGUCAAAGCUUCUGGGCAUGCUGGGGCUUGAACCUUCCCUGCCUGCGUCAGAAGUUGGCAGGGGCCAACUGGAAGGACAUUGUCCCCCAGAAGCCAGCCAGCCUGAGCUGGCAGGGCAAGGAGAGGUUGGGGGACCGUAACGGAAGGGGCUGUCGGGGAUGAGGGUCUCCCUACUGGCCCCUGAUAGCCUUCCAGUACAGCCCUGAACUGACUCCCACCAGCCCCUCACCUGCCCUUGGGCCGCACCACCCUGUUCUGAGGACAGAGAGGUCUGAGCCCCAGGACCCGCGCUCCCAGGAAAGUAGGAGUUCCAGGAAUUGGAGAGGGUGUGCAUACCUCCACGAAGCCCACCCCGCCCACAGCCCCCAGGGCCCUUUGAAGCCAGAACCGCAGCGGGAUUGCGGUGGGCAGGCCUCCCAAUGCUGCUGUUUGCCCAGGGAAUUAAGUUGAGGUGGGGCAGCUGCCCACAGCUCUCCCCUUGCCCAGCCACCCACAGGCUCCGUCUACAGCCCCGCACACCCCUACCAGCUGCCCUGCCUCUCUUCCUGCCUAACCCUGGGUACCAAGCCCUGUCCCCAUCCCCACUGAGCAACAGAGUGCCUUCAAUUUCCUUCGAGUGAACUGUGCCCAUGAGUUGGGCAGGGGAAAAGGAGGGGUGGACUGGGAUACAGACCCUACCUACUAAGCCCACAGGUCUGCAGACCCCUGUGGGAAGAUGGCCUGUCUUGGUGAUUCCUACCUUUGAAGCAUCACAGCCCCCAACGUGUUAAGUAUUUUUUGAAUAGAUGAAUGAAUAUAUGUGCUGGCUGGCAGAUCAACACAAGAUAGAAAAGCAGCCGAGAAGCCAGAUAGUCAACACCCAGGGGUUCUCCAGUCCCUGGGCUGGGAACAUUCCCGAGGCCUCUGGAGGCAGUGGUUUGACCCAAGGGUGUGCAGAGGUAGAAGGCAUUGCAGCCCAGGGAGAACUUGGAGGAAAGCCCCAUUGCUGCCCCGUUCUGGAAUUGAGCGAGGGGGGCAGGCUGUUGACCCUGUGGAUUUGGGGGCCUCUCGUGUGGAAGUGAGAACAGAGGGAGGGUAGCGGAGAACGAGGACCACCACUAGGAAACCAGGGGACCAGGGAGGAGGAGGCAAAGCCGAGAGGGAGCGGGAGGACGCCUGGGAACUCGGGCAGGGGGAGCCACUGCGCUCACACACCUGUUCCCCACCCCCUGAAGGGAGCGCCCACAGUGCUGAGCGCCGCAGGGCAGCCUGAGUGGGGGCAGCGGAAGCCGGCAUUGGCCCUGGAGGUCCCGGCGGCCUCCCAUGGGGCUGUGUCCUUAGUGCAGUUGGUGGGGUGCGGGGAGAGUGAGAGCAGGCAGCAAACUCCAGCUCCAAAUGGGGAGAAAGAAAGGAGAGGGGUGCGGACAGGGGUGAGGGCAGACCCAAGGAGAGCUUUAAGAUGGGAGGCCUGGGGGUGUUUGAAGGAAAGAAGGGGUACGGGUGACCCCGAGGGGUUGGCAGUGCUGAGAGAGCUCCUGGUGAGAGCAGGAGGAAGAGGGUCUCAGAGGAGGCAGGAAGGGUAAGCGCCGGCCCCUUUCUUGGAGAGGGAAGAGGAAGAGGAUGGGGAGGUGGUGGGGCCGCGCCAGGGUGAACCGGAGGGUGUGGGGAGCUCUGGCUAAUGUGCGGAACUAUGGGGUGUAAGGGGCGGAACGGUGGAGGAGCAGGUCUGCAGUAACUUGGAAGGGCACUCAGGAGCAAGAGGAGCAGAGAGGAGGGACAGGAGCCCCGAGAGGGGCAGGGGCCCCGGGAGGUCAGGGUAGCUGACCUGCACCCAGCUCGCAGGACGCAGCUGGAGGCCGGAGAUUCUCAGCUGCAGGAGAGGAAGGCCAGGGUCCCAGGUGCUGCUGGAUACUGGUCAGUCACUCACCUGGUGACCUGGUUCCUUAGACCUUUGAGCUGAGUCAGGGAGGGGCAACAAGGAAUGAGACCUCGUCUUGGGGAGCCUUUCUAACCCACCGAGCUGGGAAGCCCACAGCCUUACCCAUAGGACUCACAGACUCUGAGGCUAAAAUGUUUGGGCAUUGCAGCUUCAAGGCAAGAAUCCUGUUCUCGGAGCUUUGCUCAUGAGGUAUGGUUCCUUUUCCAAGCUGAGUCUCCUAGAACCCUCCUUCAUUACCCAGAAGCCUCUCAGGCACCCCUCAAACAUGCUAUGGGCACCUCAAACUCUCCGUAUGCCUGGCUGGAUUCCCCUUCUCCCUGCGUGGGCCUUCCUCACGCUGCACCCCCACUCGGGACUGGCACCCCCAGCCAGCUGUCUCCCAGCCCACUGCCCUCGCUCCAGUAUGUUCUCUACCUAACAGCCACUGGGCCUUUCUUUUUUCUUUUUCUAUUCUUUUUCUUUUCUUUUCUUUUCUUUUUUUUUUUUUAAUGGAAUCUUACUCUGUCGCCCAGGUUGGAGUGCAGUGGCGUGAUUUCGGCUCACUGCAACCUCCACCUCCUGGGUUCAAGCAAUCCUCUUGCCUCAGUCUCCCGAGUAGCUGGGAUUACAGGUGUCCACCACCAUGCCCGGCUAAUGUUUUGUAUUUUUAGUAGAGAUGGGGUUUCACCAUGUUGGCCAGGCUGGUCUUGAACUCCUGACCUCAGGUGAUCCACCCACCUCGGCCUGCCAAAGUGCUGGGAUUACAAGCGUGAGCCACCACACCCUGUCUCUUUCUCUUUUUCUUUUUUUUUUUUUCUUUGAAACUGAGUCUCUCACUCUUGCCCAGGCUGGAGUGCAGUGACACAAUCACAGAUCACUGCAGCCUCGACUUCCUGGGUUCAAGCAAUCUUCCCAGCUCAGCCUCCCGAGUAGCUGGGACUAGAGGCACAUGCCACCACGCCUGGCUGUUUUUUUAAUUUUUUAUGGAGAUGGGGUCUCACCAGUUUGCCCAGGCUGGUCUCAAACUCCUGGGCUCAAGUGAUCCUCCUGCCUCAGCCUCUGAAAGUGCUCAGAUUACAGGUGUGAGCCACCACACCUGGCUUUUUUUUUUUUUUUAAGGAAAAAUUUUUACAUCAUAACAGUACAUGCACC
Molecule: long non-coding RNA, 3210 nt
Filed under: Homo sapiens (human)
Lineage: Eukaryota; Metazoa; Chordata; Mammalia; Primates; Hominidae
Description: HSALNT0245361
Source: RNAcentral